CCAAGGUUAUUAGAUUCUACAGGUUACCUCAGUCGGCAGAUUUUAGGCGAGAGGUGCGCGGAGGACGGCGGGUGUGCGUGACGUAGUUCUGAGACCCGCUGUAUCUCUUUUUAAUACCUUCCAUUUCUUUCUUUCUCGUACGGUUUAAUGGCAAUGGCCGUUGGUUUGGUAGUGGUUUUGUGUCGUUUUUGUAUUAUUUCUUUAUUUUCUAAUAUUUCUUUAAGUGUUACUGGUUAAUUUAAUUGUGGUCUGUGAACUACACAUAUUUAAGUACUUUGUGGACAAUUUAUUAUUUGCGUAGAUCUCAGGAACUGGCAAUUAAAAUGCUGUGAACUCAGUAUACAGUUACUACUUGUCAAAAUAGCCUAGAAAAGGCUAAAAAUUUGGAAAAAUUAUUAAAUUUCAUGCUUUCCCGAAGAAUACCGAAAUUACUCAAAUAUGGGUGCAGAUUCAAAGGGUGUAGAGUUGUAGAGAUGGAAAAUGGAAUGUAGAAACUUGUAGGAUUUGUUCAGAUCAUUUUACCGAUGACGAUUAUGAAAGAGAUCUUCAAGUAAGAGGAAUUAUUAGGACUUGGAAACUAAGAAAAACAUUAAAAGCAAUUGGUAAAUAAUUCAAAGCUUUUCGGCUUUUUUGUAAUAUAAUAUUUUUAGUUAUAUAGGUAUGAGUAGAAUCUUAUGUAAAAAGUAAAAACAGUCAGUCCACCUGGACAAAAUUGAUCCAUUGAGGCAAAAACGAGUUGAACAAAGAAGAACACAAGUGGCGGUGGAGGAAUUACUAAUGAAAAUUUCGAGGAAGGCAAUGUAAAUGUUGCCGAGGAACACAGUACCGUAGCAUCUGGAGCUGUUAUUACUUGUGUUGGUCAUCCAAUGUAUGAUGAAUUAUUGUUAAAAUAUAAUGAAUUGAAAACUAUCCUAUCUCUAAAGGAAGAAUUAUUGAUGGCAGAGGACCAAAAAAUUAAGAAAUAACAAAAACAACUUUUAAAAUCUCAACUACACUUGAAGCAGAAAAGUCCUAUAAAACAGUAGAAUACUAAGUCGGUUAGUUUAUUUAUAAAUUUUAAACUCAACUUUUGUUCUAAAUUUAAACUUUAAGUUUAAAGAAAAUAAUACGUAAAUAUGUACAAGAAAUGCUAAAAAUUUUUUUUUACAAUGUAAGCUAUUUUUAUUUAUAUACAUAUUUAGAAAUUAAUUAUACAAACCAUGUCGUAAAAUUGGUAUUUCUGAAUUGUUUAAAACUAUUUGUACUAAAUUUGCAUAUACAUCAUUUAUAUUACAAAUAAAUAAUUUAUUGCUUUGA
Long non-coding RNA from Sitophilus oryzae (rice weevil), 1296 nucleotides. RefSeq lists it as uncharacterized. The transcript has 2 exons. Lineage: Eukaryota; Metazoa; Arthropoda; Insecta; Coleoptera; Curculionidae. The record is from RefSeq and is a predicted model, not a curated record.